UACGUAGGGCGCAAGCGUUGUCCGGAAUUAUUGGGCGUAAAGAGCUUGUAGGCGGUUUGUCGCGUCUGCUGUGAAAAUCCGGGGCUCAACCCCGGACUUGCAGUGGGUACGGGCAGACUAGAGUGUGGUAGGGGAGACUGGAAUUCCUGGUGUAGCGGUGAAAUGCGCAGAUAUCAGGAGGAACACCGGUGGCGAAGGCGGGUCUCUGGGCCGAUACUGACGCUGAGGAGCGAAAGCGUGGGGAGCAAACAGG
Molecule: ribosomal RNA, 253 nt
Filed under: uncultured bacterium
Lineage: Bacteria
Description: partial 16S ribosomal RNA
Rfam family: Bacterial small subunit ribosomal RNA
Source: RNAcentral